RNAcentral lists this ribosomal RNA (1297 nucleotides) under Salmonella enterica. RNAcentral describes it as "partial 23S ribosomal RNA". It matches the Rfam family "Bacterial large subunit ribosomal RNA", at positions 161 to 1503 of the family's 2925-position model. The record is from RNAcentral. Lineage: Bacteria; Pseudomonadati; Pseudomonadota; Gammaproteobacteria; Enterobacterales; Enterobacteriaceae. RNAcentral also lists the same sequence under 2 other names.
AAUCCAUAGGUUAAUGAGGCGAACCGGGGGAACUGAAACAUCUAAGUACCCCGAGGAAAAGAAAUCAACCGAGAUUCCCCCAGUAGCGGCGAGCGAACGGGGAGGAGCCCAGAGCCUGAAUCAGCAUGUGUGUUAGUGGAAGCGUCUGGAAAGGCGCGCGAUACAGGGUGACAGCCCCGUACACAAAAGCGCAUGUGCUGUGAGCUCGAUGAGUAGGGCGGGACACGUGGUAUCCUGUCUGAAUAUGGGGGGACCAUCCUCCAAGGCUAAAUACUCCUGACUGACCGAUAGUGAACCAGUACCGUGAGGGAAAGGCGAAAAGAACCCCGGCGAGGGGAGUGAAAAAGAACCUGAAACCGUGUACGUACAAGCAGUGGGAGCACCCUUUGGGUGUGACUGCGUACCUUUUGUAUAAUGGGUCAGCGACUUAUAUUCUGUAGCAAGGUUAACCGAAUAGGGGAGCCGGAGGGAAACCGAGUCUUAACCGGGCGUUAAGUUGCAGGGUAUAGACCCGAAACCCGGUGAUCUAGCCAUGGGCAGGUUGAAGGUUGGGUAACACUAACUGGAGGACCGAACCGACUAAUGUUGAAAAAUUAGCGGAUGACCUGUGGCUGGGGGUGAAAGGCCAAUCAAACCGGGAGAUAGCUGGUUCUCCCCGAAAGCUAUUUAGGUAGCGCCUCGUGAAUUCAUCUCCGGGGGUAGAGCACUGUUUCGGCUAGGGGGCCAUCCCGGCUUACCAACCCGAUGCAAACUGCGAAUACCGGAGAAUGUUAUCACGGGAGACACACGGCGGGUGCUAACGUCCGUCGUGAAGAGGGAAACAACCCAGACCGCCAGCUAAGGUCCCAAAGUCAUGGUUAAGUGGGAAACGAUGUGGGAAGGCCCAGACAGCCAGGAUGUUGGCUUAGAAGCAGCCAUCAUUUAAAGAAAGCGUAAUAGCUCACUGGUCGAGUCGGCCUGCGCGGAAGAUGUAACGGGGCUAAACCAUGCACCGAAGCUGCGGCAGCGACACUGUGUGUUGUUGGGUAGGGGAGCGUUCUGUAAGCCUGUGAAGGUGUGUCGUGAGGCAUGCUGGAGGUAUCAGAAGUGCGAAUGCUGACAUAAGUAACGAUAAAGCGGGUGAAAAGCCCGCUCGCCGGAAGACCAAGGGUUCCUGUCCAACGUUAAUCGGGGCAGGGUGAGUCGACCCCUAAGGCGAGGCCGAAAGGCGUAGUCGAUGGGAAACGGGUUAAUAUUCCCGUACUUGGUGUUACUGCGAAGGGGGGACGGAGAAGGCUAUGUUGGCCGGGCGACGGUU